RNAcentral lists this transfer RNA (76 nucleotides) under Staphylococcus aureus. RNAcentral describes it as "tRNA-Ala". It matches the Rfam family "tRNA". From Rfam's summary of the family: Transfer RNA (tRNA) molecules are approximately 80 nucleotides in length. Their secondary structure includes four short double-helical elements and three loops (D, anti-codon, and T loops). Further hydrogen bonds mediate the characteristic L-shaped molecular structure. tRNAs have two regions of fundamental functional importance: the anti-codon, which is responsible for specific mRNA codon recognition, and the 3' end, to which the tRNAs corresponding amino acid is attached (by aminoacyl-tRNA synthetases). tRNAs cope with the degeneracy of the genetic code in two manners: having more than one tRNA (with a specific anti-codon) for a particular amino acid; and 'wobble' base-pairing, i.e. permitting non-standard base-pairing at the 3rd anti-codon position. Lineage: Bacteria; Bacillati; Bacillota; Bacilli; Caryophanales; Staphylococcaceae. The record is from RNAcentral.
GAAGGCUUAGCUCAGCUGGGAGAGCGCCUGCUUUGCACGCAGGAGGUCAGCGGUUCGAUCCCGCUAGUCUCCACCA